This 76-nucleotide transfer RNA is filed under the name Terriglobia bacterium. Its description in RNAcentral is "tRNA-Val". The record is from RNAcentral. RNAcentral also lists the same sequence under 2 other names. Lineage: Bacteria; Pseudomonadati; Acidobacteriota; Terriglobia.
GCCGGGGUUGUCGUCUGGUGACGGCGCUUCUCCUACAAAGAAGAUCAGUAGAGUUCGAUCCUCUACCCCGGUACCA